This 403-nucleotide ribosomal RNA is filed under the name uncultured bacterium. Its description in RNAcentral is "bacterial SSU rRNA". It matches the Rfam family "Bacterial small subunit ribosomal RNA", at positions 355 to 774 of the family's 1533-position model. The record is from RNAcentral.
UGGGGAAUCUUCCGCAAUGGACGAAAGUCUGACGGAGCAACGCCGCGUGGGUGACGAAGGUUUUCGGAUCGUAAAACCCUGUCAAGAAGGAAGAAAAAAGACGGUACUUCUGAAGGAAGCCCCGGCUAACUACGUGCCAGCAGCCGCGGUAAUACGUAGGGGGCAAGCGUUGUCCGGAAUUACUGGGCGUAAAGAGUACGUAGGCUGUCAAGUAAGUCUGGCGUGAAAGGCAAGGGCUCAACCCUUGGACUGCGCCGGAUACUGCGUGACUAGAGUAAUGGAGGGGGAACCGGAAUUCUCGGUGUAGCAGUGAAAUGCUUAGAUAUCACGAAGAACUCCGAUUGCGAAGGCAGCUUACUGGGGUACAACUGACACUGAGGCACGAAAGUGUGGGUAUCAAACA